Schistosoma mansoni is the source of this 45-nucleotide non-coding RNA. NCBI's taxonomy places the organism in Eukaryota, Metazoa, Platyhelminthes, Trematoda, Strigeidida, Schistosomatidae. The record is from Rfam.
ACCCAGAUGAAGAGUCCUAAAUAGGACGAAAUUCGCUUCUUGGAU